UAUGUGAUCGUCUCUCGCAUAUCAAUAAGCGGAGGAAAAGAAACUAACAAGGAUUCCCCUAGUAACGGCGAGUGAAGCGGGAAGAGCUCAAAUUUGAAAUCUUAAAGGGUUUCCCUUUACGAAUUGUAGUUUAAAGAAGUGUUUUCUGUUGAGGUUUUGGUAAAAGUUCUUUGGAAUAGGACAUCAUAGAGGGUGAGAAUCCCGUAUUUGACCUUUACUUUCAACUUUGUGAUACACUUUCAAAGAGUCGGAUUGUUUGGGAAUGCAGUCCAAAAUGGGUGGUAAAUUUCAUCUAAAGCUAAAUAUUGGCGAGAGACCGAUAGCGAACAAGUACCGUGAGGGAAAGAUGAAAAGAACUUUGAAAAGAGAGUUAAACAGUACGUGAAAUUGUCAAAAGGGAAGCGUUUGACACCAGUGUUGUUUUUCUGAAAAUCAAUUAAAGAACUGUUUAUGCUAAGCUGUUUAGACUUAUCAGCUAACUGUUUAGUUUUGAGCUUUUCUUUAAUGCACUUUUCAGUUAACAAGUCAACAUCAAUUUCUUUUGCUGUAAAAAAGCUUGAGGAAGGUGGCUUGAGAUUCGUCUUAAGUGUUUAUAGCCUCUUGCCUAUGCAGUCGGAGAGAUUGAGGUCUGCAGCGUAGAUCCUUCGGGGCUAAAUGCAUUUGUGCUAAGUUAUAGCAUUUUAUAGACAACUUGUUGACUAUGAUUUGUCUUGUAGCUUACUCGCUUAUGUUAUUUUACCUACGCUUAGGAUGUUGAGUAGCGACAUACGCAC
This 773-nucleotide ribosomal RNA is filed under the name uncultured Neocallimastigales. RNAcentral describes it as "partial large subunit ribosomal RNA". It matches the Rfam family "Eukaryotic large subunit ribosomal RNA", at positions 24 to 649 of the family's 3401-position model. The record is from RNAcentral. Lineage: Eukaryota; Fungi; Neocallimastigomycota; Neocallimastigomycetes; Neocallimastigales.